Molecule: unclassified non-coding RNA, 1728 nt
Filed under: Leishmania donovani
Lineage: Eukaryota; Euglenozoa; Kinetoplastea; Trypanosomatida; Trypanosomatidae
Description: gene:LdHU3.30.4710(CDS-product:chromosomal_passen ger_protein_putative)
Source: RNAcentral
UCCCCGCCUGUAUUUAUCCACGCGCGCAAUAUCCAGCUCCUCCCUACACAGGCAUCUGCCACCCAUCGCCGAGGUGCACAAUAGGGAGGAGUUUCUCUUUGUGUGCCGUUCUUCCUUGCUUCUCUGACCUCCUUCUACCACCUCGCCCCUCCCUCUCUCUGCUUGGGGGUGUCCUUGGCAAGGUUUGAGAAUUCGGCAUUUACUCGUCGCGACUCCAUCCGUUCUUCGCCGUUUCUCCUGUGCCCAUCGUCAUCAUGGAGGCUGUCGCGUGGACCCCCGACGUGGUCGAGGAUCUUCUCUUCCGGCAGUUUAUCAAGGAUGAGGACAUCUCCCGCCAACUUCCGCCUGCUCCGCAAGUGUCCAGCGAAAACUUCCUCGAGAGGUACGACCAGGCAACCAAGAUCCUCUUCUCAUACGUGCGCAACGGCCCGGUGGCGGCGCUCGCCUCGCAGAAUGUGAACACCGCCGCCGUCGGCAAGUACGGCGGUGCCACCCCGCUUAAAGGUUUCGUAGGGCGCACCCCGGCAACUAAGCCUGUUCCACCAGAGUCGUCACGGCCAUUUGCUCGGACGGCAACACCGACGCCGGCACCCACUAGCCGCGCACCGUCGGUGCCGAAAGCGACCGCCAGCUCUCCCCCACCGGCCAAAGCAAAGCGGCAGCGUGUGGAGUGGCCAGCGGAUGUGCCUACCAAUCAGAUGCUGAAGAGCAACAGCCGCUCCAAGGUGGCGCACCUGACGGCGAAGCGCGUGGCGGCCCAGCAGGGCGUCGACCCCGAUCUUAUUUUUACCCAGAACUGCGGUGAUCUUCCCCUCAGCGUGAUCUUCGCGUCGUACCCCAAGGCGCUCAAAUCCGUCUCUGCCGUUCGAAACGCCAGCGGGGACUGGCGCACGGACACCUUCACUGUUGAGGAGGAAGUCUCCUACAAGAAGGACUUGGGCUACGUGCAUUACGGGCCCAGCCAAUGCACGUAUGGUGACUGGCUUCCUUCCCAGUCGUGAGUAUAGGCGUGCCACGGAGGCAGUGAAGGGGCCCAAAAGAGUUCGAGGCGCCGAAACUUGCGAGUGCGAGGCAAUAUACGGGGGCCGAUGAGCUGUGUGUCGCGCCGCAGCGUAUCCCUACACGAGAGGAGUCAGCUACGAGGCACGCGCACUCGUUGACCAACCACAGGCCAUCGCCAGUGCAGCACGACUUCCAACGCCGGCAACAGAACAUCACAUACGGCUCAUAUUCGUUUAAAGUCCUGCGCAUGUCAUGUGCCGGUGUGUCCUGUGUGCAAGUUUGUUUGCUCUUCUGAGAACAGAGGAGGGAGAUCACGCUAGCACUGGGUGCCGAUUGCCGCGUGUGCCCGGGGUGGCUACAUGGCGAUCGCCACGCCUUCGCGCCAUCGCUUCCGCCUUUUCUCUUUUGGCCGAGCCUAUUGUAUUUUUUUUUAGUGUGUCUCCCUUCCUUCCCCUUUAGACUUUUAGACUGUGCGUUGAUCUUCACCUUCUUGAUUGCCUUCCUUUCUCUCUUCGAUGCGUUCUCUGCUUGGGGGUGCCUCCAGUCUGCUGUGAGUGCGUCAUGCUGGGCAGCUCGAUCCAUCACCUGUACAGCGUGCGGGAUGCGCUCCAUCGGACCAUACAAGCGCACACGAACAGUAACGAACGCAUCCAACCGAAACGUCUUGUAUACCCAUCUUCUCUAUUUUGCCCUCCCUUCUUGUGUGUUGAUGGCGACGAGACCUAG